This 432-nucleotide ribosomal RNA is filed under the name uncultured bacterium. RNAcentral's name for it is "partial 16S ribosomal RNA". It matches the Rfam family "Bacterial small subunit ribosomal RNA", at positions 29 to 507 of the family's 1533-position model. The record is from RNAcentral.
ACGAACGCUGGCGGCAUGCCUAACACAUGCCAGUCGAACGAGACCUUCGGGUCUAGUGGCGCACGGGUGCGUAACGCGUGGGAACCUGCCCUUAGGUUCGGAAUAACUCCCCGAAAGGGGUGCUAAUACCGGAUAAUGUCUUCGGACCAAAGAUUUAUCGCCUUUGGAUGGGCCCGCGUUGGAUUAGCUAGUUGGUAGGGUAAAAGCCUACCAAGGCGACGAUCCAUAGCUGGUCUGAGAGGAUGAUCAGCCACACUGGGACUGAGACACGGCCCAGACUCCUACGGGAGGCAGCAGUGGGGAAUAUUGGACAAUGGGCGAAAGCCUGAUCCAGCAAUGCCGCGUGAGUCAUGAAGGCCUUAGGGUUGUAAAGCUCUUUUACCCGGGAUGAUAAUGACAGUACCGGGAGAAUAAGCUCCGGCUAACUCCGUG